GAAAAAUUAGCGGAUGACCUGUGGCUGGGGGUGAAAGGCCAAUCAAACCGGGAGAUAGCUGGUUCUCCCCGAAAGCUAUUUAGGUAGCGCCUCGUGAAUUCAUCUCCGGGGGUAGAGCACUGUUUCGGCUAGGGGGCCAUCCCGGCUUACCAACCCGAUGCAAACUGCGAAUACCGGAGAAUGUUAUCACGGGAGACACACGGCGGGUGCUAACGUCCGUCGUGAAGAGGGAAACAACCCAGACCGCCAGCUAAGGUCCCAAAGUCAUGGUUAAGUGGGAAACGAUGUGGGAAGGCCCAGACAGCCAGGAUGUUGGCUUAGAAGCAGCCAUCAUUUAAAGAAAGCGUAAUAGCUCACUGGUCGAGUCGGCCUGCGCG
This 377-nucleotide ribosomal RNA is filed under the name Salmonella enterica. RNAcentral's name for it is "partial 23S ribosomal RNA". It matches the Rfam family "Bacterial large subunit ribosomal RNA", at positions 791 to 1165 of the family's 2925-position model. RNAcentral also lists the same sequence under 1 other name. Lineage: Bacteria; Pseudomonadati; Pseudomonadota; Gammaproteobacteria; Enterobacterales; Enterobacteriaceae. The record is from RNAcentral.